Molecule: ribosomal RNA, 979 nt
Filed under: Microbacterium sp. HPC405
Lineage: Bacteria; Bacillati; Actinomycetota; Actinomycetes; Micrococcales; Microbacteriaceae
Description: bacterial SSU rRNA
Rfam family: Bacterial small subunit ribosomal RNA
Source: RNAcentral
AAAAGAACGCUGGCGGCGUGCUUAAACAUGCAGUACUAGGUGAAAAGGGAGCUUGCUCUGUGGGAUCAGUUGCGAACGGGUGAGUAACACGUGAGCAACCUGCCCCUGACUCUGGGAUAAGCGCUGGAAACGGCGUCUAAUACUGGAUAUGUGACGUGACCGCAUGGUCUGCGUUUGGAAAGAUUUUUCGGUUGGGGAUGGGCUCGCGGCCUAUCAGCUUGUUGGUGAGGUAAUGGCUCACCAAGGCGUCGACGGGUAGCCGGCCUGAGAGGGUGACCGGCCACACUGGGACUGAGACACGGCCCAAACUCCUACGGGAGGCAGCAGUGGGGAAUAUUGCACAAUGGGCGAAAGCCUGAUGCAGCAACGCCGCGUGAGGGAUGACGGCCUUCGGGUUGUAAACCUCUUUUAGCAGGGAAGAAGCGAAAGUGACGGUACCUGCAGAAAAAGCGCCGGCUAACUACGUGCCAGCAGCCGCGGUAAUACGUAGGGCGCAAGCGUUAUCCGGAAUUAUUGGGCGUAAAGAGCUCGUAGGCGGUUUGUCGCGUCUGCUGUGAAAUCCCGAGGCUCAACCUCGGGCCUGCAGUGGGUACGGGCAGACUAAAGUGCGGUAGGGGAGAUUGGAAUUCCUGGUGUAGCGUGGAAUGCGCAAUAUCAGAGGAACACGAUGGCGAAGGCAGAUCUCUGGGCCGUACUGACGCUGAGGAGCGAAAGGGUGGGGAGCAAACAGGCUUAAUACCUGGUAGUCCCCCCGAAACUUGGAACUAGUUGUGGGGUCCAUUCCCGGAUUCCGUGCACACUACGCAUAAUUCCCGCCUGGGGAGACGCCCAAGUUAAACCCAAGAAUUAAGGGACCCCCCAGCGGGGGACUUCGAUUAUUCCAGCAACCGAAAACUUACCAGGUUGUAAUAUCAGAACGGGCAAGGUACCUUUUUGAACUUUACCGGGGGUGUUGCCCCCUGGUCGGAAAGUUGUAAAC